AGCAGUAGCCGCGGGAACACGGAGGGUGCAAGCGUUAUCCGGAUUUAUUGGGUUUAAAGGGUCCGUAGGCGGACUUAUAAGUCAGUGGUGAAAGCCUGUCGCUUAACGAUAGAACUGCCAUUGAUACUGUAAGUCUUGAGUAUAUUUGAGGUAGCUGGAAUAAGUAGUGUAGCGGUGAAAUGCAUAGAUAUUACUUAGAACACCAAUUGCGAAGGCAGGUUACCAAGAUAUAACUGACGCUGAGGGACGAAAGCGUGGGUAGCGAACAGGAUUAGAUACCCGUGUAGUCCCUGUCUCUUAUAC
Molecule: ribosomal RNA, 303 nt
Filed under: uncultured bacterium
Lineage: Bacteria
Description: partial 16S ribosomal RNA
Rfam family: Bacterial small subunit ribosomal RNA
Source: RNAcentral